GACAGCUGGCUGCGGUGAGGGGACACUAUGUGACCAUAGAAUGCACAACUUCAACUGCCUCACCCUGGGGCCUUUACAUCUGUCUCCCUGGGAUCCCAGUUGAGCAGAUGGACUUCAGAGGCCCACGUGAGAAGUAGCCACAACUUGUUUGCCCUCUAAGGAGCCAGAGGAAGUCUUGUCCGGGACUGAGGGCUUGGCCAGAGCCAGUCCCUGCGAACUGCCCGGCGCGUCCUGCCUUGCCAGACCCUCUGCCCGGGGUCAUCCGCAGCCCGCGGGCGCCAUCGGCUCCAGGCACACAUCACCCGUGCUGGAACCCCAGCGUGUGGAGACCGGAGGCCAAAGAAACGAAACUCCCCACGCUGCGCCGUGGAGAAUAAUCACUGCCUUUUCAGAGGCCGACUUCGCCC
This 407-nucleotide long non-coding RNA is filed under the name Homo sapiens (human). RNAcentral's name for it is "HSALNT0331060". Lineage: Eukaryota; Metazoa; Chordata; Mammalia; Primates; Hominidae. The record is from RNAcentral.